AAUAAGUGUGGUUUUACACUGUUAAUGUCCAAUGUUUGGUCGUUCGUUUUAUUUAAAAAAUUUUAUGAUUAGUAUUUUUAUUGUUAUUAGAUAAUAAAACAUGAAUAAUACUCUAUGUGUGACUAUCUUUUUAAAAAAAUUUAUUUUUUUUAAAUAAGACGGACGGUUGUAGAUAUGGAUAUCCACGACGGCUAAGCUUAUU
Molecule: microRNA precursor, 202 nt
Filed under: Oryza nivara
Lineage: Eukaryota; Viridiplantae; Streptophyta; Magnoliopsida; Poales; Poaceae
Description: MIR812 microRNA precursor family
Rfam family: MIR812 microRNA precursor family
Source: Rfam by way of RNAcentral